RNAcentral lists this ribosomal RNA (492 nucleotides) under uncultured bacterium. Its description in RNAcentral is "partial 16S ribosomal RNA". It matches the Rfam family "Bacterial small subunit ribosomal RNA", at positions 29 to 507 of the family's 1533-position model. The record is from RNAcentral.
AGUGGACGCUGGCGGUAGGCCUAACACAUGCAAGUCGAACGGCAGCACAGUAAGAGCUUGCUCUUACGGGUGGCGAGUGGCGGACGGGUGAGGAAUACAUCGGAAUCUACUUUUUCGUGGGGGAUAACGUAGGGAAACUUACGCUAAUACCGCAUACGACCUACGGGUGAAAGCAGUGGAUCUUCGGACCUUGCGCGAUUGAAUGAGCCGAUGUCGGAUUAGCUAGUUGGCGGGGUAAAGGCCCACCAAGGCGACGAUCCGUAGCUGGCCUGAGAGGAUGAUCAGCCACACUGGAACUGAGACACGGUCCAGACUCCUACGGGAGGCAGCAGUGGGGAAUAUUGGACAAUGGGCGAAAGCCUGAUCCAGCCAUACCGCGUGGGUGAAGAAGGCCUUCGGGUUGUAAAGCCCUUUUGUUGGGAAAGAAAAGCAGCAGGUUAAUACCCCGCUGUUCUGACGGUACCCAAAGAAUAAGCACCGGCUAACUUCGUG